AGUAAAUAGAUACCCUGGUAGUCCCAGCUGUAAACGAUGCGCGUUAGGUGUAUCGGUGACCACGAGUCACCGAGGUGCCGAAAGGGAAACCGUGAAACGUGCCGCCUGGGAAGUACGGUCGCAAGGCUGAAACUUAAAGGAAUUGGCGGGGGAGCACCACAACAGGUGGAGCCUGCGGUUUAAAUCGGACUCAACGCCGGGAAGCUCACCGGAUAAGACAGCUGAAUGAUAGCCGGGUUGAAGGCUCUGCUUGACUAGCUGAGAGGAGGUGCAUGGCCGUCGUCAGUUCGUACUGUGAAGCAUCCUGUUAAGUCAGGCAACGAGCGAGACCCACGCCAACAGUUGCCAGCAUGUCCUCCGGGAUGGUGGGGACACUGUUGGGACCGCCUCUGCUAAAGAGGAGGAAGGAAUGGGCAACGGUAGGUCAGCAUGCCCCGAAUUAUCCGGGCUACACGCGGGCUACAAUGGUCAGGACAAUGGGUAUCAACACCGAAAGGUGAAGGCAAUCUCCUAAACCUGUCCUUAGUUCGGAUUGUGGG
This 539-nucleotide ribosomal RNA is filed under the name uncultured bacterium. RNAcentral's name for it is "bacterial SSU rRNA". It matches the Rfam family "Archaeal small subunit ribosomal RNA", at positions 725 to 1260 of the family's 1478-position model. The record is from RNAcentral.